RNAcentral lists this ribosomal RNA (507 nucleotides) under uncultured bacterium. RNAcentral's name for it is "partial 16S ribosomal RNA". The record is from RNAcentral.
GGAGUUAGCCGGUGCUUCUUCUGUGAGUGAUGUCCUUCCUGCCGGCUAUUAACCCGCAGGCCUUCUUCCUCACUGAAAGUGCUUUACAACCCGAAGGCCUUCUUCACACACGCGGCAUGGCUGGAUCAGGGUUGCCCCCAUUGUCCAAUAUUCCCCACUGCUGCCUCCCGUAGGAGUCUGGGCCGUGUCUCAGUCCCAGUGUGGCUGAUCAUCCUCUCAGACCAGCUACGGAUCGUCGCCUUGGUGAGCCGUUACCUCACCAACCAGCUAAUCCGACAUAGGCUCAUCCGAUAGCGCGAGGCCCGAAGGUCCCCCGCUUUCCCCCGUAGGCGUAUGCGGUAUUAGCCUGGGUUUCCCCCAGGUUAUCCCCCACUACCGGGCAGAUUCCUAUGCAUUACUCACCCGUCCGCCGCUCGCCACCAGGGAGCAAGCUCCCCGUGCUGCCGCUCGACUUGCAUGUGUUAGGCCUGCCGCCAGCGUUCAAUCUGAGCCAGAAUCGAACCCUGA